CUGUAUUAGAGGGAUUUUUGUUGUUUGUUUUAACACAGAAACAACUGAUUCCCCCAAUGUCUUUCCAAAGCUAUCCGUUCUUUGUGGGGACUCGAGUCCACAACGUCUAACAGGAUUCUAGCUAGGAGAUAUAAGGUAUCUUGGUAUUGAAAUUUUACAGUUUCUCCUCUGAAAGAUCACAUAUUUUGCAUAGCCUAAUUUUGUACAAAGGAAAAUAGAGAGCAAGAGCUGGAGCAAAAGACAGAGACUGAGUCUGAGACCAAGAGAGAGACAGUGACAGAGACAGAGGAGACAGACAGAGACAGAGACGGAAGACAGAGACAGAGACAGAGACAGAGACAGAGACAGAGACAGAGACAGAGACAGAGACAGAGACAGAGACAGAGACAGAGACAGAGACAGAGACAGACAGAGAAGAACUUACCCAGGACUCUGCAGCACCCAGCUAAUUCCCUUGGGAGAACAUGAAAGUCAACCCUGAAACAUCAACAGGACGUCUAAGGAAAAGGAAUGGCCAAGAUGCACAACCUGAACAUGUUCAGUCUCCGUGCAGCCUCUUCUGUUGCUGAACCAGUACCUGAGAUGAUGUCAAGUGUAUGGAGUCAUA
This is a long non-coding RNA of Anser brachyrhynchus (Pink-footed goose), 607 nucleotides long. The record is from Ensembl. Lineage: Eukaryota; Metazoa; Chordata; Aves; Anseriformes; Anatidae.